GGAGCAUCCACACCCAGAAAAAUGGCUUGGCUACGAUACUCCACUCGUGAAGACGCGUCGGGUGUUGGUCAGGCAGUCAUCAGUGAGAGAUGACACAACAGGUUCAAGUUUUCACCAAAUUGAAAAUGGGGAUUGGCCAACACGAAUAGAAAGAAUGGAUUUACCUUCAGAGAAGGAUGCCCAAACCCAAUGGGAAGACCCAUCUCUAAGUGAUCACAACUACAGCUCAGGUGAUCAUGUAAAGCUCACUAUCUGUGAGGCAGGGAUACAGUGCCCAGCAGCACUGCUCUACAAAAGCCUGCUGAGGAAUGAAGCACUCUGUUGACUGCAUACAGGCUUGUCUCUUGCCGCCCUUUCUACCCUCCUGGUAGAACAUCUUCUACCCUUCUACAAAGGCAGCUUUCAAUUAGACCUGACAGACCAACUUCUGAUGACACUGAUGAAGCUCAACUUGCUGCAGCAGUACCUAGCAGAAAGGUUUGGUGUUUUCCAGGGUAUUGUCAGUUGAGUGAUUAGUUUUUGGGUUGACAUGAUGGAAGAGAGUCUGAGGGAGUACAUUCCAUGGUUGCCAAGGGAGAUCAUCCGUGCUACAAUGCCACAAUGUUUUAAGGACUACUACCAAGGACCAACCUGGAUUAUCGACUGCUCAGAAAUUGCUUUACAGAAUGCAAGAAUCUGGAUUCAAGGGGGGAGUCAUUCAACCAUUACUACACCCAGAACACUAUCAAGUACCUUGUGGUCCGUCUGGUGAUGUUAAUUUCUUCAGCAUAUGGAGGUAGAUGUAGCAACAAAUAUAUAACGUUGGAUUCUAGGUUCUUGGAGAACCUCUGUCCAGAUGAUGAGGUCAUGGCUGACCUGGGCUUCACAAUCCAUGAACUGGUGUAUGAGAGGAAGGUUAAAUGAACAAUUCCAGCCUUCACAAAAAGAGGCGCACAGCUGUCAGUGGAGGACACCACAUGUACAAGAUUGAUAGCCAACGUGAGGGUUCAUGUGGAACGCGUAAUUCAAAGGCUCAAACGGUUUAGAAUCAUCUCACAGUCAGUGCCAAUCGACCUCUCAUCGAAAAUGGACAAAAUACUUUGAAUCUGUUCUGCCCUGUGUAACCUGUGUGGUGAUAUCAUUCAUGAAGAUGUUGAAUCAACUGAUCAGUCAAAUGCAAUUCACGGGGUCGAUUUCCCAUUAUGAAUUAAAGUUGUCUAACGUUACGUUAAAUACAUUUCAAUUCAUUAUAUAACAACUCAACUGAAUUAUUUGUUUUACAUACUCAUUAAUAUUAAUAAAAAACAAAGCCAUAAAAAUAAUUUCUACAGUACUGUGACUGUUGAUGCAGUAAGUUAGGCCUUUUAAUUGAAUAUUGUAUAACUGUGGACCAGCUAGCUAACUAGAUUGCUAAUUUGCCGGUACGGUAUGGUUGGUUAGCUAAUUUCUUGCAUAUUCUAGCAAAGACCACUGAUAGGAAACUCUUAGGCAACAAUUAUAAACAUGUUCUUUUUGUAUGUUGAAUAAGGCUUAAGUUGAGGAAACUGAACUUGAGCCUGCUUGAAACAUGGGUUUUGUUUUGGUUGACCAAGAGUCGGUAUAUCGCAGGUUGGUUCUUUGUAUGCACUGUAUGUUUGUGAUAAACAAAUUAUUCUACCUAUA
Long non-coding RNA from Oncorhynchus masou masou (cherry salmon), 1641 nucleotides. RefSeq lists it as uncharacterized. Lineage: Eukaryota; Metazoa; Chordata; Actinopteri; Salmoniformes; Salmonidae. The record is from RefSeq and is a predicted model, not a curated record. The transcript has 2 exons.